AGGACGAACGCUGGCGGCGUGCUUAACACAUGCAAGUCGAACGGAGUUCCUUGGAUAGAGGCUUCGGCCAAUUGAAUUGGAACUUAGUGGCGGACUGGUGAGUAACGCGUGAGGAACCUGCCUUUCAGAGGGGGACAACAGUUGGAAACGACUGCUAAUACCGCAUGACACAUUCGGAUGGCAUCACCUGAAUGUCAAAGAUUUUAUCGCUGAAAGAUGGCCUCGCGUCUGAUUAGCUAGUUGGUGGGGUAACGGCCCACCAAGGCGACGAUCAGUAGCCGGACUGAGAGGUUGACCGGCCACAUUGGGACUGAGAUACGGCCCAGACUCCUACGGGAGGCAGCAGUGGGGAAUAUUGGUCAAUGGACGCAAGUCUGACCCAGCAACGCCGCGUGAAGGAAGAAGGCUUUCGGGUUGUAAACUUCUUUUAAGUGGGAAGAGCAGAAGACGGUACCACUUGAAUAAGCCACGGCUAACUACGUG
Molecule: ribosomal RNA, 483 nt
Filed under: uncultured bacterium
Lineage: Bacteria
Description: bacterial SSU rRNA
Rfam family: Bacterial small subunit ribosomal RNA
Source: RNAcentral